Molecule: ribosomal RNA, 253 nt
Filed under: uncultured bacterium
Lineage: Bacteria
Description: partial 16S ribosomal RNA
Rfam family: Bacterial small subunit ribosomal RNA
Source: RNAcentral
UACGGGGGGGGCAAGCGUUGUUCGGAAUUACUGGGCGUAAAGGGCUCGUAGGUGGCCAACUAAGUCAGACGUGAAAUCCCUCGGCUUAAUCGGGGAACUGCGUCUGAUACUGGAUGGCUUGAGUUUGGGAGAGGGACGCGGAAUUCCAGGUGUAGCGGUGAAAUGCGUAGAUAUCUGGAGGAACACCGGUGGCGAAGGCGGCAUCCUGGACCGGCAUUGACGCUGAACAGCGAAAGCCAGGGGAGCAAACGGG